This 286-nucleotide RNase P RNA is filed under the name Chloroflexota bacterium. RNAcentral describes it as "Chloroflexi bacterium RNase P RNA component class A". It matches the Rfam family "Bacterial RNase P class A". Rfam says of the family: Ribonuclease P (RNase P) is a ubiquitous endoribonuclease, found in archaea, bacteria and eukarya as well as chloroplasts and mitochondria. Lineage: Bacteria; Bacillati; Chloroflexota. The record is from RNAcentral.
CAAGCAGACUAGGCUGUCGCGCCACGUGCGAGGAAAGUCCGCACUCCGUAGAGCUGGAUAGCGGGUAACCCCCGUCCGCCGCGAGGCGAGGACCAGUGGCACAGAGACCAUCGCCGGCCUCGGCCGGAGUGAAAAGAGCUAAACUCUAUCCGGAGCAAGCCCAAGCAGGGGACGUUCGCAGGCUGCUCGCCAAGUCCCGGGUAGGGCGCGAAGAGGGUCGGGGCAACCCGACGCCAAGAUAGAUGACAGCCCCCGACAGAAUGCGGCUUACAGGUCUGCUUGGUCU